CCCCAGCGCCACAAGUGGCAAUCGCUAUUAUUGGGCUUAAAGCGUCCGUAGCCGGCUUGGUAAAUCUUUUGUGAAAUUGUUCCGCUUAACGGGACAUCGUGCAGGGGACACUGCCGAGCUCGGAACCGGGAGGAGUCAGAGGUAUGCUGGGGGGAGCGGUAAAAUGUGAUAAUCCCCAGUGGACCACCUGUGGCGAAGGCGUCUGACUAGAACGGAUUCGACGGUGAGGGACGAAAGCCAGGGGAGCAAAACG
RNAcentral lists this ribosomal RNA (253 nucleotides) under uncultured archaeon. RNAcentral's name for it is "partial 16S ribosomal RNA". It matches the Rfam family "Archaeal small subunit ribosomal RNA", at positions 474 to 726 of the family's 1478-position model. The record is from RNAcentral.